This 253-nucleotide ribosomal RNA is filed under the name uncultured bacterium. RNAcentral's name for it is "partial 16S ribosomal RNA". It matches the Rfam family "Bacterial small subunit ribosomal RNA", at positions 524 to 776 of the family's 1533-position model. The record is from RNAcentral.
UACAGAGGUCUCAAGCGUUGUUCGGAUUCAUUGGGCGUAAAGGGUGCGUAGGUGGCGCUGUAAGUCGGGUGUGAAAUUUCGAGGCUUAACCUCGAAACUGCAUUCGAUACUGCGGUGCUUGAGGACUGGAGAGGAGACUGGAAUUCAUGGUGUAGCAGUGAAAUGCGUAGAGAUCAUGAGGAAGACCAGUGGCGAAGGCGGGUCUCUGGACAGUUCCUGACACUGAGGCACGAAGGCCAGGGGAGCGAACAGG